RNAcentral lists this ribosomal RNA (474 nucleotides) under unidentified nematode Sourhope farm. Its description in RNAcentral is "SSU rRNA". It matches the Rfam family "Eukaryotic small subunit ribosomal RNA", at positions 58 to 529 of the family's 1831-position model. Lineage: Eukaryota; Metazoa; Nematoda. The record is from RNAcentral.
UCUAAGCACAUGCCUUAAUACGGUGAAGCCGCGAAUAGCUCAUUACAACAGCCAUCGUUUAUUAGAAUAUCGUUAUCCUACUUGGAUAACUGUGGCAAUUCUAGAGCUAAUACAUGCAAUAAAGCUCUGCCCGCAAGGAACGAGCGCAUUUAUUAGAAUAAAAACCAAUCGAGCUUCGGCUCGUAAUUUGGUGAAUCUGAAUAACUUUGCCAAUCGCACAGUCCUAGUACUGGCGAUGUAUCUUUCAAGUGUCUGCCUUAUCAACUUUCGAUGGUACGCUAUACGCCUACCAUGGUAGUAACGGGUAACGGAGAAUAAGGGUUCGACUCCGGAGAGGGAGCCUGAGAAACGGCUACCACAUCCAAGGAAGGCAGCAGGCGCGCAAAUUACCCACUUCCAGAACGGAGAGGUAGUGACGAAAAAUAACGAGACAGUCCUCUUUGAGGUCUGUCAUCGGAAUGGGUACAAUUUAAA